RNAcentral lists this long non-coding RNA (477 nucleotides) under Calidris pugnax (ruff). RNAcentral's name for it is "lncRNA (ENSCPUG00000003869.1)". Lineage: Eukaryota; Metazoa; Chordata; Aves; Charadriiformes; Scolopacidae. The record is from RNAcentral.
CUGAAAACUGGCAUUUUGAGAAAUCCUCCAUUUAUAAAAGUUGCUGACAUAAUGCACUAUCGUCUUCCUAUAGAUUGUGAUGGUGUGUCAGGAGCUAAAAUCUCCAGAAAGCCACUCAUGAGGAUGAAACAAAACAAAAUACUAUUUGCAAAACGUGUUUGUAAAACAUAUUCACCAUUCAGCUUUCAAAGGCUAUUCCGUAAGCAGAGAAACGUGUACUUUAUUAGAGUGCCCUUGACUGUAAUCCUAAAGCCAAAUGGGUUGCCCGUCAGGUACCUGAACCAAAUGAAACGGAAACAGAGCCUGAAGACCACGGCUUUCAUUACAUCUACAGUAUCAAUCUCUAUCCAUCUUGCCAUCCAAGAAGGCCAAGAACAUUUUAAGGUGCUGGGAAUUUUUCAGUAUGUAAAGGAGAAAAGACCACAACCGUUUCAAUGUGUUUGCAAAAAAAGAAAUAAGAAGAGAUUCUGGAUAUGA